GGGCCCGCACAAGCGGUGGAGUAUGUGGUUUAAUUCGAUGCAACGCGAAGAACCUUACCAGGGCUUGACAUCCUGCGAACCUCUGGGAAACCGGAGGGUGCCUUCGGGAACGCAGUGACAGGUGGUGCAUGGCUGUCGUCAGCUCGUGUCGUGAGAUGUUGGGUUAAGUCCCGCAACGAGCGCAACCCUCGUCCUAUGUUGCCAGCACGUAAUGGUGGGAACUCAUGGGAUACUGCCGGGGUCAACUCGGAGGAAGGUGGGGAUGACGUCAAAUCAUCAUGCCCCUUAUGUCUUGGGCUUCACGCAUGCUACAAUGGCCGGUACAGAGGGCUGCAAUACCGCAAGGUGGAGCGAAUCCCAAAAAGCUAUCUCAGUUCGGAUUGUCGUCUGCAACUCGACGGCAUG
Molecule: ribosomal RNA, 405 nt
Filed under: uncultured bacterium
Lineage: Bacteria
Description: bacterial SSU rRNA
Rfam family: Bacterial small subunit ribosomal RNA
Source: RNAcentral